This 499-nucleotide ribosomal RNA is filed under the name uncultured bacterium. Its description in RNAcentral is "partial 16S ribosomal RNA". It matches the Rfam family "Bacterial small subunit ribosomal RNA", at positions 28 to 507 of the family's 1533-position model. The record is from RNAcentral.
GACGAACGCUGGCGGCGUGCCUAAUACAUGCAAGUCGAGCGAAGUUUUUCUGGUGCUUGCACCGGAAAAACUUAGCGGCGAACGGGUGAGUAACACGUAAAGAACCUGCCUCAUAGACUGGGACAACUAUUAGAAACGAUAGCUAAUACCGGAUAAUAGCAUUAACUGCAUGGUUGAUGUUUAAAAGUUGGUUUUGCUAACACUAUGAGAUGGCUUUGCGGUGCAUUAGCUAGUUGGUGGGGUAAAGGCCUACCAAGGCGACGAUGCAUAGCCGACCUGAGAGGGUGAUCGGCCACACUGGGACUGAGACACGGCCCAGACUCCUACGGGAGGCAGCAGUAGGGAAUCUUCCGCAAUGGGCGAAAGCCUGACGGAGCAACGCCGCGUGAGUGAAGAAGGAUUUCGGUUCGUAAAGCUCUGUUGUUAGGGAAGAAUGAUUGUGUAGUAACUAUACACAGUAGAGACGGUACCUAACCAGAAAGCCACGGCUAACUACGUG